This is a long non-coding RNA of Mya arenaria, 5661 nucleotides long. RefSeq lists it as uncharacterized. The transcript is spliced from 4 exons. NCBI's taxonomy places the organism in Eukaryota, Metazoa, Mollusca, Bivalvia, Myida, Myidae. The record is from RefSeq and is a predicted model, not a curated record.
AAAACACAUGAGUACACCACAGCGAACAAAAUUGCUGGUUUGUAAAACCUUGGAAGAGGCUUUAAGGAAAAUCCAGGAGCUGGAAAUGCAAAAUAAUUUGUGCCUGACUCUAGUACGAAGAAUUUUGGGAAGACGAUUUGGCCUAAAAAGACCUGUAGCAGUUAACAAGCUAUUAGAUGCACAAUAGCACAAAAUGACCACCACCACUAUCACCCUAAAGUGUGUGCUUGGUGUCUGUCUACACGUGCUUGCUUCUGGAAUGUUGAAGAACAAACUGUGUUGAAACGCCAACUGGAGUUGGUCAUGGACCUUUGCCGCCCUUCAUCCAGAGCCUUCCACAGAGAUGGCAGAUAUAUCGCUGCCUGGACCAACAGUUGACCAUGCCGUUGAGUCCAUGAUAUCAGUAGCAGCCAUGAAAACAUCUACAGAAUUACAUCUGCGGCCGUGGCUAUUAAUGGAUACAUUCUGCACCACUUCCAUGUGCUGUCAGUUUGAAACGUCUCUACUCUGACAGAAGGAAGGGAAUGAAUACCCAGGAUUGUUCCUCAGGAAAAUCUCUUCAACAGGCUGUUGUCAGUUUGCAUGCUCUUUGGAUGGAAUUACCCUACCUUGGCUUGCAGAGAAUCUGUGACAUAAAAGACCUCUUUUGUGCUGCAUUGUGUCAUUGAUUUAUUGUAUUUUAUAUGUAUUAUGCCACUAUUGUAAAAACAAAUGGGCAUAUGUUUUAGCAUAUGUUUUCAAACAGACACAUUUAUAUUUCAAACAGACACAUUUAUAUUUUUGAAUAAUUUGAAAAUACAUUUUGUAGGUUGACUUCACACCAUGAAACAUUAAUGGUAGGUUAUAUUUGACCAGAACAUGACAAGUAUUGUUUUCGGAGUUUUUUGGUCGAAGGUGAAGGUAAUGGCUAAUGCACAAUGAACCUUGAAUUCUUUGACCUAGGACCAUUAAUAUUUAGUGAUUGAUAUAUCAGUCCAACUCAUAUGUGAAAGGGACAUGAUGAAAUUGAGCAAGAGCUUAUUAGCAUUGCAAAUUAUUAUUUGUUCAUUUCUAUCAUUAACAAUUCUGCGUUAAAGUUUUCAUUUUAUGUAAUAAAAUCAAGAGUUUUUAUCCAAUGGUAAUCAAACUUGGUCAGACUAUUUGUCGGCAUGUUAUCUUGAAGAUGUAUGAAUAUGGGUCAUCCCUGGUCAAAUUCUAGGUCACUAGGUCACAUCUUAGAGAAAAUAUUUCCAUGUCAUAAAUUCAACAUUUUUUUCAUAUCUUUAUGAAACUUGGUCAGAAUAUUUGUCUGCAUACUAUCUUGAAAGUUUUUUAAUAUGGGUCAUCCCGGGUCAAAUUCUAGGUCACUAGGUCAAAUCUUAGGAAAAUCAUUCCACAUCAUAAAUUGAACAAUUUUUGUCAAAUCUUUAUGAAACUUGGUCAGAAUAUUUGUCUGCAUAAUAUCUUAAAAGUUCUAUAAUAUGGGUCAUCCCCGGUCAAAACCUAGGUCACAAGGUCAAAUUUUAGAAGAAAGAAUCCCACAGUCAUAAAAAUUCAUUAAUUUUAGUCAAAUCUUUUUUAAACUUGGUCAGAAUAUUUGUCUACAUGUUGUCUUAAUCAUUUGUGAAUAUAGGUCACCUCAGAUCAAAAACUAGGUCACUAGGUCAAAUCUUAGGAAAUACUUUCCUGAUGUCAUAAAAAAAAUCUAUGCUUACCAAAGCUAUCCAUAUCAGUUAAUAACUAAAUUCAAUUGUUAUUUUAUAAACACACAUCCCAAUCAUGAAUUUCAGAUCUAACCAUAUUUUUCAAAAAUUUAAAUUUUAAUUAACUUUAAAAAUAUUUGUGUACAUGAAAUCUUAGAUGAUAAAGUGUGUCAUCUAGGGUCAAAAACUAGGUCUCUGGGACAGAUCUUUUUGGAAAAGCUGAUGUAUUUAUAAAAUGUUCGUUUUUCCUCACACAAAUGGAAUAGUUUCUGUUGAUUAGGUUAUUUGUAUGAAUGAUAUCUCCGAUAAAUAUAAAUAUGGGUCUUUUUGGUUAAAAAUACUAGGUCAUUAGCUCAAAUCCUAGGUUUGCAAAAAUGCAUUGUCAAAUAAAAAAUCAAGCUUUAUGCGGCGUUGCCGCGUUGGCGUCUUGUUAAUUUUUUAUUUUGACAGGCACAUUUUUAUAAUCUUAACCAAAUCAAACCUUGUUUUGUCACAUUGUGAUUCUUAUUCACUUUUUUUAUUUGAUUGUUUUAUUGCUUUUUACAGGCACAUAUCACACUAUUAUUGUAUUUACGUCCAAUUCCAAGAGGCGUAGUAGAGCGCACUGUUUUACGACAGCUCUUGUUAACCUGUAAAGUGAAACCUGGUUAUAAAAAUGACAUGACUGUGUCAUUGUGUUGGCAGGCCAGGAGGAGGGCAGCAUCAAAUACAUCUACAAACUUGGUAUACAAAGUAUUAUAGAAUUGCUUUCGGGGCCCAUAGGAUCAAGGUCACUAAAACAAAAAAAUAUUGAAACUUAAUCACACAACAAAGGCUUAAUUAAUUAGGUUUGUCUGUCAAUCAUUGAAAACUUGUUUUUUUUUUUGCAUUGCAGCAUUUCAUGCUUAAUUAUGCCCCCCUUCGAAGAAGAGGGGUAUAUUGCUUUGCACAGGCAUGUCUGUAUGUCGGUCGGUCGGUCGGUUGGUCGGUCGGUCCGUCGGUAGACCAAAGCUUGUCCGAGUGAUAACUCAACAAUUCCUGGACGUAUGGUCAUCAAACUUGACAUGAAGGUUGGGCCUGACCAGUAGAUGACCCCUAUUGAUUUUAGGGCUCAUCGGGUCAAAGGUCAAGGUCACAGUGACCUUUAAUGAUAAAAUAAUUUUAAGCUUGUCCGAGUGAUAACUCAACCAUGCCUAGACCUAUGGUCAUCAAACUUGAUAUGGAAGUUGGGCCUGACCAUUAGAUGACCCCUAUUGUUUUUGGGGGUCAUCGGGCCAAAGGUCAAGGUCACAGUGACCUUGAAUGGUAAAAAGAUGUCCAUGUGAUAACUUGACAAUGCCUGCACCCUUGGCCCUCAUUCUUGACUUGGAGGUUGGGCCUGACCAGUAGCUGACCCCUAUUGUUUUUGGGGCUCAUCAGGUCAAAGAUCAAGGUCAUAGUGACAUUGAAUGGUAAAAGGUUGUCCGAGUGAUAACUCAACAAUGCCUGCACCCAUGGCCCUCAUAAUUGACUUGGAGGUUGGGCCUGACCAGUAGAUGAACCCUAUUGUUUUUGGGGGUCAUCGGGCCAAAGGUCAAGGUCACAGUGACCUUGAAUGGUAAAAGGUUGUCCAUGUGAUAACUCGACCCAUGGCCCUCAAACUUGACAUGAAGGUUGGGCCUGACCAGUAGAUGACUCCUCUUGACUUUGGGGGUCAUCAGGCCAAGGUCAAGGUCACAGUAACCUUUAACGCAAAUCUUUUCCCAGUGAUCUCUCAACAAUGCCUGAAUCUAUGAUCAUUAAACUUGACAUGUAAGUUAGGCCUGACCAGGAGAUGACCCUUAUUGAUUUUAGGAGUCAUUGGGUCAAAGGUCAGGUUCACAGUGACCUUGAAUGCGAUAAUUGGACAAUGCCUGCACCCAUGGCCCUCAAACUUGACUUGGAGUUGUGUCUGACUGUAGAUGACCCCUUAUGAUUUAAGGGGUCAUUGGAUCAAAGGUCAAGGUUACAGUGACCUUGAACGAAAAAUGCUUGUCUGUGUGAUAACUAAGUGUCAAUGCCUGCACCCAUGGCCCUCAAACUUAACAUUUAGAUUUUUGGUGACCAGCUGAUGACUACUAUGGAUUUUGAGAUCAUAAAGUCAAAGGUCAUGGUCAUAAAACACUAUCCUCAAACUUUGAAUGGUCAUAAUCUUAAAACUGCCUCAACGGCAUACAAUGUUAGCGACAAAUCAGCUGUCAUUUCGGUCCAUGCAUAUUUCAUUCAAUUGUCCAUAUAAUCCUGACAACAUGGCGCUCAGGGGGGGCAUAAUGUUUGACAAACAUCUCUUGUUUUUAUUUUGUCUCUUUAUUGCAUAUUACCUUUAUCAUUAUUGUAUUCAUUUCUAAGACAAAGCAGCAUAUAGUUGAGGGCACUGCCCCAUGACAGCUCUUGUAUAUCCUAAAAAGAAUACAAUAGUGAUAUACCCUGAUAUAGGUAGUUUUGUUACAUUAUCACGGUUUUAAUUUUAGCUUUACUGGCCAAAGAUCAGAAUAUCUGAUGUGAUGGUAAUGUGUACGUAGUAUGUGCUUCCUAGCGCCUGUAAACAAUUGCUUGUGAACACCAUACAGUCUUUAGUUAUGAUUGUAUCUCAAUAAAACAGUAUUUAGAUAUCCAAUAGAGCUCGGUUCCUUUCGAAAACCAGUCAGAUCUGACCAUGCAUGCCUAGAUUAUAGGCCUUGAACGUCUGUGCGACUGUAAACAAUUCCUUGUGAACAUGGUACAGUCUUCAGUUUUAAUUGUAUAUAGAUGAAACUUGUACAGUAUUAAGAUAUCAAUUAGAGCUUGGUUCCUUUCGAAAACCAGAUCUGCCCAUGCAUACCUAGAUUAUCAUAUGGGCCUCAAAAGUAAAAAAAAAUGCUAUUUUUAGCCAAGUCUACAUGAGCGAAGUCUAUUUUUAGACAAGUUUACAUGUAAAGUCACAAAUUCAUGUGAAAAAUUGUUCAAAUUAGGCCCCUGGGGUCAUUAUUGGCCACGCCACUGGGUUCACCGGUUUGGUAUACUAAAUUGGGAAAUGUUUGAAAAUCUUUAUGUCUGAAACAACUAUGCAGACCCUUGUUAUUUUGAAUAAGGAUUAUUUUAUUGGUCUGCUACCAUGGUUGUUCAAAUUAUGCCCCUAGGGUCAAAACUGGCACUGCCCCCAGGGGUCACAAGUUUUUUAAGAAAUAUUUUCAAAAUCUUCUUGUUUCAAACCACAAGGCUCAUAUCUUUGAUAUUUGUUGUGGAGCAUUAUAUGUAGACCGUCUAGCAAAACAGUUGAAAUUAUGUGCCCUGGGCCGGGGCCACCAUCCAUUUUGUCCUUUUAAAGCUACAAAAAUGAAAAUUUGACCAAUAGUACAUUUUGUAGCAAAUUUUAUUCUCCUCAGAUGACCUUUACUUGGCACAUAUUAGAAUACUAGUAGUUCAUGCAACUUAUCUGCUUACAACACUUUCUGUUCUCAGAUGUUAAAUGUGCAACGUUUUAAGCUUACUCAAACACAAAACGUGAACAAUAUGUUUGUUGGCUAUUACUCAUACAUACAUGCUCUGGAUCAAAAAUAACCACAUGAGCCAUGCCACUAGAGCAUAGGCACUCAUGGGCCUCUUGUUUUUUUUUAGAAAAAAAGCAUACUGACCAACCCUAUUUAUUUUAGAAGUUAGCUGAAACUAAGAACUUUUUUUACCUUACUUUUAUAUUAGAUUGUGUAUUGCUAAGAUUUUUGCUUAAAGCUCCAUUUAAGGUAACUGUUCAUCUCAAAUGUAACAGCUUUUGCCUUCAAACUUUUAAAAUUUCAUUGAACCAGUGGGUUCAUCAUGAUGCACAUCUGUAAAUGUUUCUCCCUAAUAUGGGCUUUUAUGUAUGCAAACAGAACAUUGAACAAUUGGCUUUCUGUGUAAAGUAAACCCUGUCCAGAACAUUUGUCAAAUUGCUGUGUCAGCACUUGUUUGAAUGGAUUUAUUUCAUUUUCAUAUUAUGAUUUCAAAUAAAGUAUUUAAAAAUGUU